AAGAAUCGGUAGACGUUUCGAGCUUCAGCGUGAAUCUGAAGGCUCAAACUUCCACCUCAAAGCUGGGGGGAGACUGAUCGGUAGGGGAGAUUGGAAUUCCUGGUGUGGCGGUGGGAAUGGGCAGAUAUCAGGAGGAACACCGAUGGCGAAGGCAAAUCUAUGGGGCCGUAACUGACGGUGAGGAGCGAAAGCAUGGGGAGCGAACAGGAUUAGAUACCCUGGUAGUCCAUGCCGUAAAACGUUGGGAACUAGAGGUAGGGACCAUUCCACGGUUUCUGUGUCGCAGCUAACGCAUUAAGUUCCCCGCCUGGGGAGUACGGCCGCAAGGCUAAAACUCAAAGGAAUUGACGGGGGCCCGCACAAGCGGCGGAGCAUGCGGAUUAAUUCGAUGCAACGCGAAGAACCUUACCAAGGCUUGACAUGAACGAGACCGGGUCAGAAAUGAUCAACUCUUUGGACACUCGUUUACAGGUGGUGCAUGGUUGUCGUCAGCUCGUGUCGUGAGAUGUUGGGUUAAGUCCCGCAACGAGCGCAACCCUCGUUCUAUGUUGCCAGCACGUUAUGGUGGGAACUCAUAGGAGACUGCCGGGGUCAACUCGGAGGAGAGGUGGGGAUGACGUCAAAUCAUCAUGCCCCUUAUGUCUUGGGCUUCACGCAUGCUACAAUGGCCGGUACAAAGGGCUGCGAUACCGUAAGGUGGAGCGAAUCCCAAAAAGCCGGUCUCAGUUCGGAUUGAGGUCUGCAACUCGACCUCAUGAAGUCGGAGUCGCUAGUAAUCGCAGAUCAGCAACGCUGCGGUGAAUACGUUCCCGGGCCUUGUACACACCGCCCGUCAAGUCAUGAAAGUCGGUAACACCCAACGCCAGUGGCCUAACCUUCGGGAGGGAGCUGUCUAAG
RNAcentral lists this ribosomal RNA (897 nucleotides) under Subtercola sp. 2_12. RNAcentral's name for it is "bacterial SSU rRNA". It matches the Rfam family "Bacterial small subunit ribosomal RNA", at positions 563 to 1461 of the family's 1533-position model. The record is from RNAcentral. Lineage: Bacteria; Bacillati; Actinomycetota; Actinomycetes; Micrococcales; Microbacteriaceae.